Rhododendron vialii is the source of this 1763-nucleotide long non-coding RNA. RefSeq lists it as uncharacterized. The transcript has 3 exons. The record is from RefSeq and is a predicted model, not a curated record. NCBI's taxonomy places the organism in Eukaryota, Viridiplantae, Streptophyta, Magnoliopsida, Ericales, Ericaceae.
UCUUAUGAAAGUGCCUAAAUCCUAAAGUAUCUUAAAAUGGACUUGAGACCUUGGAAAUUUAAUAAGUGGACUUGUGGGCUUAUGAAGUUUACAUAAUGGAUCUAAGACUAAUUUUCUAUAUCUUCAAUAUGUUCUUAAAAGCUGCAAAUGCUUGAUAUGAAGUGGAUGAAAGACUUACAAGCUCAUUAUUUGGAUUACUUGUUGCAGAAACCCAGAUUUGCUAUUUGUAAAUUGCUGUCAGGGGUGUCCAACAACAUUGCAGAGGAAGCUUACUGUUGUGCCAUGGAAGAAAAGUUCCGUGAGUUGGCUGCAUUGCUGAUUGUGGCACGUGAAAAUGUUUUACUUCCCAUCACAUUUCACAAAACAGAUGGUUCUGGUUUAAGUGGAAGAAUGACGAUCCCCUAAUGCAUUAGAAAUCAAGUUUUUUCACUGAUUGAUGAGGAGGCUGAGUUAAAGAGUAAUUAUAAACUUAAAAAGUUAACUCAGAUUCAGGAAAAGAUGGCGACUAUGAUGUCUACGGCACUGUUGCUUGAAAUUUUUGAGAGAGCUGGUCAUACCAUCGAGGAAUAUCUGCAGUCGCAACAGCCUGAUGUACAGACGGACCACGUGGAGAGAGAUGUUGCUUCGAUGCUUAAGGAAGCAGGAUUUAUAUUGAAGUUUUGAGACUUCGAUUUUAAAAUUAGCAACUGGUUUGGAAGUUUUUGGAUACUUUUUUCCUGGAUUGUUUUUCUUCUUUUCUUUAUACACAUUCGUUUUUGCGAUAUCUCUUGGGCUUUCUGAAUAAGUUAACCUCCUUGAAUGACCGAAUAAGUCCCGAAUACCUUUUUUUUUUCCUUUUUUUUCGUGACAGGUUGAAUCGUUGCGAUCCCAUGACGACUCCUACCAAGUGCUUAGAGACUUCCUCAGAGAGAUCUUUAUCACUACCCAGUCAUCACUCGCCCUUGAUGCAGCAAACAAAGGUGGUUUUGCCCCCAAGGGUAAGGAAAUGUAUAGUUAUUAUGUUCUUUGCUGCUAUUAGAUUGGUCCUAUGUAUUGCUAGGAAUCUUGUUUCUCUGAUGCUUUGCAAUAUUUAAAAAAGAGACAAGAGAGAGGGAGAGGUAGGAGGGAGGGAGGUAGAUUAUCUGCAGCAGGGAUCUUAUUAUUUGAAAGGAGCAUAAACAAUACUUUCAAAGGAGUAAUUUAUUAAUGUUGGUAACGCAAAGCAAAGUGGUUUGAUGCUGUCCUGUAUUCUAAUAGUAUAGGCUUUUAUUGGCGCAUUCCUAUUAUAAUUCUUGAAUUUUUGUUGUUUCUUGCCUGAGCAGAAAGAUAUACCUAGUGGUGGACGUUGGCCGCGAUCCAUAACUUCCCCUUUUGACCCAACCCAUGCUUUGUCCUCUAUGGAGAAUAUAAAUCAAGUCCCAAAUUUUGCCUUGGGUUCUCGUUAUACAACCAGUUUUGAUGUGCCAGUGAAGAAGCAAACUAAAGCAAAGAGGAAUGUGCCCACAUGUCAGUCAAGGGAGAACGUUGCACGUGUUGCAAUGUUGCUCGAGAGGGGUGUAAGAGGUUAUUGACCCUUGUAGGUGCACGUUUUACAACCAGUUUUGAUGUGCCAGUGAGAAUUGAGUAAAGAGCGAACGGAGAUUCAAAUACAGAUUGGGAGACAUAGAUAUGCCCGGAGUUGGUGAGGCGAUACACAUGGAUUUUCAUGAAUGCACAGUGAGACUCAUAUGUAUCGGACAGUUUCGGAUUUCUUUAUAUUUAUAAAAUUUUAUUCAACCCCCCAU